Molecule: long non-coding RNA, 856 nt
Filed under: Rattus norvegicus (Norway rat)
Lineage: Eukaryota; Metazoa; Chordata; Mammalia; Rodentia; Muridae
Description: long non-coding RNA NONRATT028478
Source: RNAcentral
UUUUCUUUUUAAAUGAAUGAUUUCUAUGUGUAUGGUUUUAACAAUGUGUGUGUGUGUGUGUGUGUGUGUGUGUGUGUACACAUACGUGCAUGCUGUUUGUGUGUUUGGUGCCCUCUAAAAUUAGAAAGCAUUAGAUUCCCCUGGAACUAGAGUUAUAGUCUCCAUGAGACACGGUAUAGGUGCUGGAAUCCAUCCUAAGUUCUCUAGAAAAGCAGCCAGUGCUCAUAACCACUGAGAUCUCUCUUCAGCCCUACUUUUUAAGUAUUAUAGUAUGAAAUGAAUACAAAUAUGUUGUUGGGGACCAGAGUUUUCACUAUGGCAGAAGGAAUAUACACAUAAGGAAUGAAUGGAGGGAUUUAAGUAGGAAAAUAUCCUAUAGUUUCUUUAAGUAUAGGGGUUAAGUGGUCAAGAGUAGCAUCGGUAAGCUGGUAAAUCCUUAAUCCCAGCAUGUGGGAGGCAGAGGCAAGCAGAUCUGAGUUGGAGGUCAGCCUGAUCUACAAAGUGAGUUCCAGGACAGCUAGGGCUUUGUUACAUAGAGAAACCUGUUUCAAAAAAAAAAAAAAAAAAAAAAAGAAAGAAGAAAAAGAAAAAAAAAGGCAUUGGUAACAAGGUAAGACUUGGCACUUCGCCAAGUGUACUAUUCCUGUCAGAAACUGUUAAGCCUGGCAUGGUGACACAUUAAGAGACCUUCUACUGUUGUAGAAGACUUGAGUUCAGUUCCCGGUACCCACUAAUUGUUCAGCUCACAGUCACCCAUAACUCCAGCUCCAAGUGAUCUAACACCCUCUUCUGCUCUCCAAGGUAACUGGAAAUGUGUGUGUGGUAUACAGACAUGCAUGCAGGCAAGAUAACCAUU